This 418-nucleotide ribosomal RNA is filed under the name Holocneminus multiguttatus. RNAcentral describes it as "partial 16S ribosomal RNA". It matches the Rfam family "Bacterial large subunit ribosomal RNA", at positions 1831 to 2590 of the family's 2925-position model. Lineage: Eukaryota; Metazoa; Arthropoda; Arachnida; Araneae; Pholcidae. The record is from RNAcentral.
UUCUAUAAGAACUAAUUUAAAGUAAAACCUGCUCACUGAAUUAAAUUAAAGAGCCGCAGUUGUCUGUGCUAAGGUAGCAUAAUCACUAGCCUCCUAAUUAGAGGAUCGUAUGAAUGGUAAAACGAGAUAAACCCUGUCUCACAAAAAUAAGACAAAUUCACUUAACAGUAAAAAGGCUGUUAUUUAUAAAAAAGACGACAAGACCCUGAUAAACUAGUAAAUUUUAGCUGGGGAGGCUAAUAAAAAAACCUUAAUUCCUCUUAUAAAACCACUAUAAAAAUAAAAUACAGUUACUACAGGGAUAACAGCGCUAUUUCUUUUAAGAGUCCUAAUCCAAAAAGAAUCAUACGACCUCGAUGUUGAAUUAUUUUACCAAAUAAAAGCAAAAAUUUAUAAGUGGCGGUCUGUUCGACCCAUA